UACAUGGGGUGCAAACGUUGCUCGGAAUUAUUGGGCGUAAAGCGCGCGUAGGCGGUUACUCAAGUCGGAUGUGAAAGCCCUCGGCUUAACUGAGGAAGUGCACCCGAAACUGAGUAGCUAGAGUACUAAAGAGGGUCGCGGAAUUCCCGGUGUAGAGGUGAAAUUCGUAGAUAUCAGGAGGAACACCCGUAGCGAAGGCGGCACUCUGGGCCGAUACUGACACUGAGGAGCGAAAGCGUGGGGAGCGAACAGG
RNAcentral lists this ribosomal RNA (253 nucleotides) under uncultured bacterium. RNAcentral's name for it is "partial 16S ribosomal RNA". It matches the Rfam family "Bacterial small subunit ribosomal RNA", at positions 524 to 776 of the family's 1533-position model. The record is from RNAcentral.